Molecule: transfer RNA, 87 nt
Filed under: Azoarcus olearius
Lineage: Bacteria; Pseudomonadati; Pseudomonadota; Betaproteobacteria; Rhodocyclales; Zoogloeaceae
Description: tRNA-Ser
Rfam family: tRNA
About the family: Transfer RNA (tRNA) molecules are approximately 80 nucleotides in length. Their secondary structure includes four short double-helical elements and three loops (D, anti-codon, and T loops).
Source: RNAcentral
GGAUGGGUGGCAGAGCGGUUUAAUGCACUGGUCUUGAAAACCAGCGUGCAUGUGAGUGCACCGUGGGUUCGAAUCCCACCCCAUCCG